CUACGGGGUGCUGCAGUGGGGAAUAUUGGACAAUGGGCGCAAGCCUGAUCCAGCCAUGCCGCGUGAGUGAAGAAGGCCUUAGGGUUGUAAAGCUCUUUCGGCGGGGACGAUGAUGACGGUACCCGCAGAGGAAGCCCCGGCUAACUCCGUGCCAGCAGCCGCGGUAAUACGGAGGGGGCUAGCGUUGUUCGGAAUUACUGGGCGUAAAGCGCGCGCAGGCGGCUAUUCUAGUCAGAGGUGAAAGGCCCGGGCUCAACCUGGGAACUGCCUUUGAUACUGGAUGGCUUGAGGUCGGAAGAGGGUAGUGGAAUUCCCAGUGUAGAGGUGAAAUUCGUAGAUAUUGGGAAGAACACCGGUGGCGAAGGCGGCUACCUGGUCCGAUACUGACGCUGAGGCGCGAAAGCGUGGGGAGCAAACAGGAUUAGAUACCCGAGUAGUC
This 439-nucleotide ribosomal RNA is filed under the name uncultured bacterium. RNAcentral describes it as "partial 16S ribosomal RNA". It matches the Rfam family "Bacterial small subunit ribosomal RNA", at positions 339 to 795 of the family's 1533-position model. The record is from RNAcentral.